GGAAACCGAAAACUCGGCGGCCGAGGCUCCGUGCCCCGCGCGCAGCGCUGCUCCUGCCCCGGCCAAGGACGCACGGGCCAGCCGGCGGAACCAGAGUUUAAUUAGGCAUAAAUAAAAAGCCACGUGAAGCCUGGAGAUACUGGACAUAGCAGAUUUGUCAAGCCAUUUUUCCCACCACCAGUGCCUGAGCACGACCUCAUUUGUCUUGGUCAAUGAAGCUCAAGGAAGCAUUGCACUUUGGCUUCCGCUUUAAGUUUUGUAUGUUGAUAUGUAUCCCAUGUCUUCUAACAAUAAAGUGCUAUUUCACUGACAUUAA
Molecule: long non-coding RNA, 316 nt
Organism: Homo sapiens (human)
Lineage: Eukaryota; Metazoa; Chordata; Mammalia; Primates; Hominidae
Gene: OSMR-DT
Product: OSMR divergent transcript
Source: Ensembl